AUUGAACGCUGGCGGCAGGCCUAACACAUGCAAGUCGAGCGGAUGAAGGGAGCUUGCUCCUGGCUUCAGCGGCGGACGGGUGAGUAAUGCCUAGGAAUCUGCCUGGUAGUGGGGGAUAACGUCCGGAAACGGGCGCUAAUACCGCAUACGUCCUGAGGGAGAAAGUGGGGGAUCUUCGGACCUCACGCUAUCAGAUGAGCCUAGGUCGGAUUAGCUAGUUGGUGGGGUAAAGGCCUACCAAGGCGACGAUCCGUAACUGGUCUGAGAGGAUGAUCAGUCACACUGGAACUGAGACACGGUCCAGACUCCUAAGGGAGGCAGCAGUGGGGAAUAUUGGACAAUGGGCGAAAGCCUGAUCCAGCCAUGCCGCGUGUGUGAAGAAGGUCUUCGGAUUGUAAAGCACUUUAAGUUGGGAGGAAGGGCAGUAAGUUAAUACCUUGCUGUUUUGACGUUACCAACAGAAUAAGCACCGGCUAACUUCGUG
This 484-nucleotide ribosomal RNA is filed under the name uncultured bacterium. RNAcentral's name for it is "partial 16S ribosomal RNA". It matches the Rfam family "Bacterial small subunit ribosomal RNA", at positions 30 to 507 of the family's 1533-position model. The record is from RNAcentral.